Molecule: ribosomal RNA, 456 nt
Filed under: uncultured bacterium
Lineage: Bacteria
Description: SSU rRNA
Rfam family: Bacterial small subunit ribosomal RNA
Source: RNAcentral
AGGAUAAACGCUGGCGGCGUGCCUAACACAUGCAAGUCGAACGCCCUCUGGCAACAGAGGGAGUGGCGGACGGGUGAGUAACACGUGGGUACCUGCCCUUAAGUGGAGAAUACCGGCGAGAAAUCGCCGACAAUACUCCAUAGCUUUCGCAAGAAAGAAAGCCCGCAAGGGCGCUUGAGGAUGGGCUUGCGUCCGAUUAGCUAGUUGGUGGGGUAAAAGCUUACCAAGGCUGCGAUCGGUAGCUGGUCUGAGAGGAUGAUCAGCCACACUGGGAUUGAGAACGGCCCAGACUCCUACGGGGGGCAGCAGUGAGGAAUUUUCGUCAAUGGGGGCAACCCUGAACGAGCAACGCCGCGUGCAGGAAGAAGGUCUUCGGAUCGUAAACUGCUUUUCUCUGGGACGAGCAAGGACGGUACCAGAGGAAUCAGCCUCGGCUAACUACGCGCCAGCAGCCGC